UACAGAGGGUGCGAGCGUUGUUCGGAAUUAUUGGGCGUAAAGGGCGCGUAGGCGGCGCACCAAGUCAGGCGUGAAAGCCCUGGGCUCAACCCGGGAAUUGCGCUUGAGACUGGUGUGCUCGAGUACGGGAGAGGAUAGUGGAAUUCCCAGUGUAGAGGUGAAAUGCGUAGAGAUCGGGAGGAACACCAGUGGCGAAGGCGGCUACCUGGACCAGCACUGACACUGAGGCACGAAAGCGUGGGGAGCAAACAGG
Molecule: ribosomal RNA, 253 nt
Filed under: uncultured bacterium
Lineage: Bacteria
Description: partial 16S ribosomal RNA
Rfam family: Bacterial small subunit ribosomal RNA
Source: RNAcentral